GUGUUGAAAACCCCAGAUGGAUCUACACCAAAGCAGUAUCGUUGUUGUUAUUGGGAACCAUUAUUGCCGCUGUAUUUGCAGAUCCUCUGGUGGAUGCUGUUAACAAAUUUUCUGUUGCAACAAGUAUUCCUAGUUUCUUCAUCUCUUUUAUUGCACUCCCCUUGGCCAACUCUAGUGACGCUGUGUCAGCAAUCACCUUUGCUAGCAAGAAGACAGUCAGAACUGCUUCCUUAACAUUUUCUCAGCUAUAUGGAGCAGUAACCAUG
This 266-nucleotide unclassified non-coding RNA is filed under the name Hevea brasiliensis (rubber tree). Lineage: Eukaryota; Viridiplantae; Streptophyta; Magnoliopsida; Malpighiales; Euphorbiaceae. The record is from RNAcentral.